Molecule: long non-coding RNA, 388 nt
Organism: Gossypium arboreum
Lineage: Eukaryota; Viridiplantae; Streptophyta; Magnoliopsida; Malvales; Malvaceae
Exons: 2
Source: RefSeq, a predicted model, not a curated record
UCAAGUCGUGAUCGGGGGAAAAACAAAGUUUACGAGGAAUAGGCUCGAUUGUUAAAAAUUUUGUACCGAGUUUUAACAAGCCGGCUUGAGAAUUGGUAUAGGUCGAAGACUUGUUCACACAAUCCGAAGGCCUAAAUUGGUAAAAUGGCUUGUGUGUUUUGAAUGUGGCAUGUAUGGCAAAAUACUCACUUUGUAUAAAUGAUCUUAUGAUAUGGCUAUGGUUUGGAAAGAAAAGGGUUUGUAAAUGAUUAGCCAUUAGAAUGGCCAAUCAAAGUCAUAUUUGAUGUUAUGUAUGUUUAAAAUGCUAUUUAGUCCAUGAAAAUCCUUAAUAAAGUGAAAUCUGCCAUAAAACAGAAUCUGACAGCAGCAGUGAUGUAAAUUUGAAAAA